UACGUAGGGGGCAAGCGUUGUCCGGAUUUAUUGGGCGUAAAGAGCGUGUAGGCGGCCCGGUAAGUCCGCCGUGAAAGUCCAGGGCUCAACCCUGGAAUGCCGGUGGAAACUGCCGGGCUGGAGUCCGGAAGAGGCGAGUGGAAUUCUUGGUGUAGCGGUGAAAUGCGCAGAUAUCAGGAGGAACACCAAUGGCGAAGGCAGCUCGCUGGGACGGUACUGACGCUGAGACGCGAAAGCGUGGGGAGCAAACAGG
RNAcentral lists this ribosomal RNA (253 nucleotides) under uncultured bacterium. RNAcentral's name for it is "partial 16S ribosomal RNA". It matches the Rfam family "Bacterial small subunit ribosomal RNA", at positions 524 to 776 of the family's 1533-position model. The record is from RNAcentral.